CCUUAGUAAGAUUCCCCUUGAGUUUGAUCAUGGCUCAGAGCGAACGCUGGCGGCAGGCCUAAUACAUGCAAGUCGAGCGCACCUUCGGGUGAGCGGCGGACGGGUGAGUAACGCGUGAGAACGUGCCCUUUGGUACGGAACAACUGAGGGAAACUUCAGCUAAUACCGUAUGUGCCCUUCGGGGGAAAGAUUUAUCGCCAUUGGAGCGGCCCGCGUUGGAUUAGCUAGUUGGUGGGGUAAAGGCCCACCAAGGCGACGAUCCAUAGCUGGUCUGAGAGGAUGAUCAGCCACACUGGGACUGAGACACGGCCCAGACUCCUACGGGAGGCAGCAGUAGGGAAUCUUGCGCAAUGGGCGAAAGCCUGACGCAGCCAUGCCGCGUGAAUGAUGAAGGUCUUAGGAUUGUAAAAUUCUUUCACCGGGGAAGAUAAUGACGGUACCCGGAGAAGAAGCCCCGGCUAACUUCGUGCCAGCAGCCGCGGUAAUACGAAGGGGGCUAGCGUUGCUCGGAAUUACUGGGCGUAAAGGGCGCGUAGGCGGACAGUUUAGUCAGAGGUGAAAGCCCAGGGCUCAACCUUGGAAUUGCCUUUGAUACUGGCUGUCUUGAGUUCGGGAGAGGUGAGUGGAAUGCCGAGUGUAGAGGUGAAAUUCGUAGAUAUUCGGCGGAACACCAGUGGCGAAGGCGACUCACUGGCCCGAUACUGACGCUGAGGCGCGAAAGCGUGNNGGAGCAACAGGAUUAGAUACCCUGGUAGUCCACGCUGUNAACGAUGAGUGCUAGUUG
This 784-nucleotide ribosomal RNA is filed under the name uncultured bacterium. RNAcentral describes it as "bacterial SSU rRNA". It matches the Rfam family "Bacterial small subunit ribosomal RNA", at positions 1 to 822 of the family's 1533-position model. The record is from RNAcentral.